RNAcentral lists this ribosomal RNA (1623 nucleotides) under Triticum aestivum (bread wheat). Its description in RNAcentral is "partial small subunit ribosomal RNA". Lineage: Eukaryota; Viridiplantae; Streptophyta; Magnoliopsida; Poales; Poaceae. The record is from RNAcentral.
GGGUAUUCCACCCGUCACCCUAGACAGGCUUCGUUUCCUCCGGCGACGGCGGAACGAGCGAGAGAGUCCUCGGCGCGGCCGACAACCGGCUGCGGGAUCGCGCGAUUCAGCCGGCGCCAAGGGCCGCAGAACUAGCGGCACCGCACCGCGCCGCACGCCAUGGCAGGUAAUAACCCACCACCAAAGCCAUGGGAACGUGUUGGCACUUCAUCUGGUCCAGCGCCUUUCAAACCCCCAUCUGGAGGCAGCACAAGUGACGUUGUUGAGGCCUCUGGGACAGCAAAACCUGGGGAAGUUGUUUCUGCUGCACAGAGCAAUGCUGCUUUCAACGUGAACAAUCCAGUUGCAGGGCCUGUGCCCCCGCGUCCCUGGCAGCAGCAAGGAUACGGAAAUACUUAUGGGGGUUAUGGUGCCAGUACCUAUAAUUCAUAUGGUGGAUUUGGUGGGGCUUAUAGUAACGGCGGGCUAUAUGGAAAUAAUAACAUGUAUUCAGGGUAUGGAGGUGGUUACGGCAGUUCGUACGGGGGCUCUGGAAUGUAUGGUGGGUCAAUGUAUAAUAACGGGAUGGGAAACCCAUACGGUGGUAUGGGCAUGGCUCCUUACAAUCAGGGUCCUAAUUCAUUUGGUCCUCCAGCACCACCCCCAGGUUUCUGGGUGUCCUUCCUACAAGUGAUGCAUGGGAUUGUGAAUUUCUCUGGACGAGUUGCUUUCCUUAUCAGCCAGAAUACUCAGGCAUUCCACAUGUUCAUCACAGCUCUUUUGCAGCUAUGUGAUAAGUCUGGAAUGCUUUAUGGUGAGCUUGCGAGAUUCACAUUUCGAUUGCUGGGGAUCAAAACCAAACCAAAUAAGGGCAGAAUUCAGGGUGCACAAGCUCCAUCAUCGGAUGGGCCAGGCCAGCAGUUCGUUGAGGCACCAAAAGCUAACAAGAACUCAUGGGAGAAUGUCUGGAACGGCGAUGCUAAGGGAAUGUGAGCUGCUAUAUAUGUGUGCAGUUACAGUGACAGGUUUUGUUAGACGAGGACGAUGAGUUUGCUUAUGGCUAUGGGGAGAAAGGAAAUCUGCUGAUUUCUGUUCUGAUGCAUCUGCCAUUUGAACCAGAGCGAGAAAACCAAGUAAUCCCUAUUGCUCGUUGUAUUUACCGUGAUAUCUUUUCUUCCCUGGUAUCUGUGUAGUGCUGUUACGAGGAGUUUGCUGCUGUGAGAAAUGUGAGCUUGUAAAGUAUGGCUUUCCUGAUAAUAGAGUAAAUAUUACCCAAAAUGCCUUGUCCGGAGAAGUGGUCCACAAUAUUACUGUUUUCCGUCAUAUCCUUUUUAAUGAUAAAAAGAUAUAUUUUUAUUUUAGUACAGGAGUAUACUGGCGCUCCUCGUGAUAACGGCUUGGAAUUAUUAUCUGCUCUCACAGUUGUUUUCGCCAACAGGCGGAGUGAUCAUGAUUAAUCAGCAAUAUCCCUUCCCUUUGGAACAGUUGCUGGGACAGAUAAAAGUUCUUGGGCUCUUGCAGAGGGUAGUGCUGCUACUCGUAAGUGUUACUAGCUGCGUGGUGCGCGAAACUGGUCUGAAGUUGACAUGCGCCCUGAGCUCUGAGGCUGAAGCGCGUUGUUUCUUAUCCUCCUUGUUGCCUGAC